UACGGAGGGGGCGAGCGUUAUUCGGAAUUAUUGGGCGUAAAGGGCGCGUAGGCGGCCAUGCGUGUCUUCCGUGAAAUCCCUCGGCUUAACUGAGGACGUGCGGAAGAAACUGCAAGGCUCGAGUCCGGGAGAGGAGGGUGGAAUUCCCAGUGUAGCGGUGAAAUGCGUAGAUAUUGGGAGGAACACCUGUGGCGAAAGCGGCGCACUGGACCACAACUGACGCUGAGGCGCGAAAGCUAGGGGAGCAAACAGG
RNAcentral lists this ribosomal RNA (253 nucleotides) under uncultured bacterium. Its description in RNAcentral is "partial 16S ribosomal RNA". It matches the Rfam family "Bacterial small subunit ribosomal RNA", at positions 524 to 776 of the family's 1533-position model. The record is from RNAcentral.